UACGUAGGGCGCGAGCGUUAUCCGGAAUUAUUGGGCGUAAAGAGCUCGUAGGCGGUUUGUCGCGUCUGCCGUGAAAGUCCGGGGCUUAACCCCGGAUCUGCGGUGGGUACGGGCAGACUGGAGUGCAGUAGGGGAGACUGGAAUUCCUGGUGUAGCGGUGAAAUGCGCAGAUAUCAGGAGGAACACCGAUGGCGAAGGCAGGUCUCUGGGCUGUUACUGACGCUGAGGAGCGAAAGCAUGGGGAGCGAAC
This 250-nucleotide ribosomal RNA is filed under the name uncultured prokaryote. RNAcentral describes it as "partial 16S ribosomal RNA". It matches the Rfam family "Bacterial small subunit ribosomal RNA", at positions 524 to 773 of the family's 1533-position model. The record is from RNAcentral.